UACGGGGGGGGCAAGCGUUGUUCGGAAUUACCGGGCGUAAAGGGCUCGUAGGCGGCCAACUAAGUCAGACGUGAAAUCCCUCGGCUUAACCGGGGAACUGCGUCUGAUACUGGAUGGCUUGAGAUUGGGAGAGGGAUGCGGAAUUCCAGGUGUAGCGGUGAAAUGCGUAGAUAUCUGGAGGAACACCGGUGGCGAAGGCGGCAUCCUGGACCAACACUGACGCUGAGUGAGCGAAAGCCAGGGGAGCAAACGGG
RNAcentral lists this ribosomal RNA (254 nucleotides) under uncultured bacterium. RNAcentral describes it as "partial 16S ribosomal RNA". It matches the Rfam family "Bacterial small subunit ribosomal RNA", at positions 524 to 776 of the family's 1533-position model. The record is from RNAcentral.